RNAcentral lists this ribosomal RNA (716 nucleotides) under uncultured Lactobacillus sp. RNAcentral's name for it is "bacterial SSU rRNA". It matches the Rfam family "Bacterial small subunit ribosomal RNA", at positions 46 to 718 of the family's 1533-position model. Lineage: Bacteria; Bacillati; Bacillota; Bacilli; Lactobacillales; Lactobacillaceae. The record is from RNAcentral.
GCCUAAUACAUGCCAGUCGUACGCACUGGCCCAACUGAUUGAUGGUGCUUGCACCUGAUUGACGUUGGAUCACCAGUGAGUGGCGGACGGGUGAGUAACACGUAGGUAACCUGCCCCGGAGCGGGGGAUAACAUUUGGAAACAGAUGCUAAUACCGCAUAACAACAAAAGCCACAUGGCUUUUGUUUGAAAGAUGGCUUUAGCUAUCACUCUGGGAUGGACCUGCGGUGCAUUAGCUAGUUGGUAAGGUAACGGCUUACCGAGGCGAUGAUGCAUAGCCGAGUUGAGAGACUGAUCGGCCACAAUGGAACUGAGACACGGUCCAUACUCCUACGGGAGGCAGCAGUAGGGAAUCUUCCACAAUGGGCGCAAGCCUGAUGGAGCAACACCGCGUGAGUGAAGAAGGGUUUCGGCUCGUAAAGCUCUGUUGUUGGAGAAGAACGUGCGUGAGAGUAACUGUUCGCGCAGUGACGGUAUCCAACCAGAAAGUCACGGCUAACUACGUGCCAGCAGCCGCGGUAAUACGUAGGUGGCAAGCGUUAUCCGGAUUUAUUGGGCGUAAAGCGAGCGCAGGCGGUUGCUUAGGUCUGAUGUGAAAGCCUUCGGCUUAACCGAAGAAGUGCAUCGGAAACCGGGCAACUUGAGUGCAGAAGAGGACAGUGGAACUCCAUGUGUAGCGGUGGAAUGCGUAGAUAUAUGGAAGAACACCAGUGGCGA